Molecule: long non-coding RNA, 3619 nt
Organism: Monomorium pharaonis (pharaoh ant)
Lineage: Eukaryota; Metazoa; Arthropoda; Insecta; Hymenoptera; Formicidae
Exons: 8
Source: RefSeq, a predicted model, not a curated record
GCAUCAAUAUAAUUGGUUCUUAGAAUUUCUUCUAGUAACGCUGUACCCUAUAAUAUUAGAUUUAUAUCGUGAAAUAUAUUGAGAAUUCUUGAAAAUAGCGAAUGAGCAUUUGGCUUACACGCUGCGCGCCAUAAGAAUUUUCGUUGUUCGCGAGCGGUAAUAUUAUAGAAGCUUAACUGAGGCUCGUCGAUUACGAUAACAUUUGGAAUACCUCAUUAUCGUGAUAAAAAAUGCGGACGUGCCGUGCCGACAAAAGCUGUCGCGAAGGAGAAGGGGAGGCGUAAAAGUCGGACUCGUCACCCCUCUUCGGGUCAAUUACAGCACGAGACAGACCUCCCGUCCGGGGGGAUCAUUAUCGCGAAAUUGUGCGUAUCGUGCACCACUACUGAUGCAGCGUACCCUGUGCAAGCGCGGAAUUGGAUUUCGAAAUGUGAAAAUACGAGUCCGCGGGGGGGAUGGGGCGAUGGGGGAUGGACGGAUGAGACUCGAGGGAGACGAACGGUAGAUUCACGUGGUGAGACAUCUGUCGGACAACUUAACAACCGCCCGUCUCUCACUCCGAUCCCGCUAUAUAUCCAUCCAUAUAAAUUGUAUAUGUAUAGUAUAACGCGCUGCAGGGCGAUACAUUCCUGAGACGCCCCGUCGUUUCUUUUCGCAGUUACAUACCUCUCGCCUUUUUCCCCCGUUUAACAAACAGACAGCACAAUGCGAGAACUGCGGGGCUAGUCACGUGCUAGUCAUGUUCUCAUAGUCAUCAACGUAUAACUGUUAUAUCAGCACGCAGAGAACGAUUACUACAUUUUUCUCGCAUAAUUAAUUGACAUUAAUUGACGCAGGGUGUGACAUAUAUUUUUUUCUUAUUUUAAUUGUAUCGAUAGUAGUAAUUUUUCUUCUUUUUUUUUUUUUUGUUUGCAACAGUUCGAGAAAACGAGAUACGCUCGAUAUAGCGAGCGAAAUUUUGUGGGGGAAGCACGCGUGCGCACGCAAUUUUGCACACGUGUGUAUGUAAUUGCAGAUGUGUCCAACAUAUUAUUUGUAUGGACGGUGCAACGGACUGUCUCUGUGUGGACACACCGUGCGUCCACACGAUUUCACUCGGUGCUCUAUUUAGCGCUUGUUAGCGCCGACAAUACCACGCAGCUGAUCCCCUUAACGAGGCCGAGGUUCGUAUUGUGCGAGGGUGUAAAGCUCCGCGCGUGGCCUGUGUGCGCAGCAUAAGCAUGCGUCGGAGACGCGGACAAGCGAGAGCAAACCGUUAACCCAUUAUCUUCUUCAGGAAAAACUGCAAAUAAAUUCAGAAGAUGGUAUUAUAAUUAUCCAGUCGUUAUUUGCCUUUGUCUCAACAUUGACGUGCUUGUGCGAACGACUCAAAAUUUACAUUAUUAGACGAGAUCAUCGACUUAAAUUAUGUAUAAUCGUAUCUUCCACAUAACACACAAAACACGGAAAAGGGAUGACAUAUUGUGAAAUAUAAAGCUAUUUUAUAGCAAAUGUUGUACAACAGGUCGAAUAAUCCAACAUCAAGAGAAAAAAAUCAUCUUAUUUUGCAUUCCUGAUCCUGCUGUGCUUUGAAUUAUGAAGGAAGUGUCCAGUAAGUCUCCAGCUCGUAAAGACAUCAAGCAAACAGUUAUGCCCAUCCAAUGUGUUAAUGCGCAAUUUCGAGAUACAUGUCUCUCUCUUAUUGGAAUACAAAAUCCUUCAACGUUCAAAAUUAAUGUCUCUUAGCCCCUGCUGAGAAAUUGAAAGAAAAUCAGAAAGCCGGUUACCCAACAGUAGUCAAAAUGAGCGACAUAAUAUCGAAGAUACACUCUCAGUCAUGUGUCGUGUGGUGCUUCCAAACAUUUUAGAAAAAUACCUCGAAUUUGGAGAUGCUGCGUGAUACAUGAUUAAAAAUAACAUAAAAUGUGAAACAAUCUUUAUAUAUAAAAAUAUAAAAAUAAUUUUAUAUUGCGAGCAAUUUUGGAUUAUUCUACACACGCGCUUCAUUUGUCUCUCAAACAUUAUAUAUUAAUGCGGACAACCAGCUUAUAGCACCCAUAUAUAACACCCAUACAGUGCUUUGUAACGAAAAAUUGUCAAAAAAACAGAUGAAGUCCUGCUGUGAACAAAAAGCAUUUUUUUCAAAAGGUUUACGCAAUCUUUAGCCUGAACGAUCACAAGCAUCUUAAGCAUAAUGGAGUAGUAAAGGACUUAUUAUAGCCACAAUGGAUUUCGGUGCCACGAAAUGAUCAGCGGCCACCAUGGAUCCUCUAGCCUACUGGUAUUAAUCAACGAAGCAUCAAAGAGCACUUUCCACCAAAACGGUUUGUUUAUCGUCGGCUUGGCGGUAGGCCCGUCGGUCUGAUCGAGUUCGCUCUUUCUCCGUCAGAAAUCGUUCAGAUACCACCAGUAUGCGAUGCUUCCAAGAAUCUCUGAUGUUUCUAAUCGACCCACCAACUGACAAGCACCAGUUCUUUUUUUUACGAGUACGCUAGGAAGGGUAUGCACUGUGAUACGUGAGGCGAACUAGAACACUUUUUGCGACUAGAAAAUGUGGAUCAACUUGCUAAUAGAAUGCUAUAACUCCAUCUCCAAGUCGUGCGCCUGUAGGAACAAAUUUCAAAUCAGCAAACUAAAUUGCUUUAACUCGGAACUGAUAUCAAAUGCGAAUCUUUGUUCAAGAAAAAAUGGGAAGUUAGCUUCAAAGAAUCCUAUACAAUGACUUGGAAGAAAUUCGAGUGAAAUUACAUAAUAAUCUGCGAUGUUAAUAUUAAAAGAACUUGGAGCGUAUUCAUAAAUUUCUGUAACAAAAAGAAACUUACGGAAAUAAUAUAUAGGUUGAAUUGUAGUCCGUUCGGAAACAAGGGCAACCAUAUGAUUCAUUUACCUUCUUUAUAGUGAUAGUGGAAGAGGAAAAGAAGUUAUAAGUUAUAUAUAUAAGUUUACCGGGACAGCGAAUGGAAAGGGAUGGUCAGGUUGAAAAACCAGGAUAUGAUCAUUGGGGCUGAGGGCUGACACAGUUGAAAGUAAAACGUCUAUAUCUAUUAAAUAAAACAUUAUUAAAUAAAACUUGGAAGUUUAUAGUAAAUUUUGAGAGCGGAUUUCUCUCUGGAAAUUGAUAAUUAAAAGAUUCUAGGGAGUCAUGGUAUUAUUAAAAUAAUACUGGCGAGGACGAAGGAAGAAGCAAGAUGGGGCAGGAUCUCGCGGGAUGGACAGUGAUACCGAGGGGAGGUGUAAAAGGAAAUUCUAUUUUUAUCGAGUCGUUAUUAAUAAGAUCUUUUUUCGCUUGUUCUGCAAGCUCCCCGGUUCCACCGACGUUUUGCAGCUCUUCUCAAUAACCGUUUCGCGGUACCGCGAAUGCAAGAAUCCACUACAAGUUGAACGGUUCAGAACCGACUUUGCGUCGUGAAGAAAAAUCAAUUAAAUAGCCAAACCCUCAAGAGAUAAGACAUUAGUCGGUCGUGUUACAAAAUCUUUAAUUCGCGAAACGUCACAGCUUUACUAUUGGUAUUCGGCCGAACUCAAUAUAACGAAAAGCUAUAUAGAUUGUACUCCUACAUUAAGGCGGGCAAGUCAUGUAAAUCGAAAUAUUUUAGCAAUUUUUUUUUCUUGCUUAAAAUUUAUAGGAAAUUUUCCGUAG